GAGAACCUAGAGAACGAUGAAGAAUGAACCAGUUGCUGCAAAAAUACAAUGUUGAGGAAGAUCCGACAGAUCCGGCUCCUCCUCCUCCGCUCUCCUCUUCUCUCUCCCUAUUUUCUAGGUUACAACUAGAACUAACUAGAACUAGAACUAGAGGAACUAGAACUAGAACUAGAUGAACUAGAGGGAUCCUCUCUACUUGGAUGAAGAAUUGAAACCCUAACUUUGAUUCUGUAGAAGAGGUAUGCUCUCCAGGGGCCAGGGGGCCUUGCUUAUAUAGUCUUUUCAGAUGAAUCUGGGUCGUCGGAUCAAACCAACAUUAAUCGCACGGUUUUCCUUGAUCGCUUAGGUCGGUGGAGCACGAUCCGUGAAAAGAACUCUGAUUGGUCACAGAAGGUGGGCGGGCGCCCAGGAGAGUAGGGCGGGCGCCCUGGCUCCGAGCCCGAUCGCCUUUCCGUUCGUUCCCGUGGCUUCUGGAGACUUCUAGAUGGUAGAAAAUUACGCGGCACGUUAAUAUCUCUAUGUAAUCCCGACAUGUGGGCCUUUCUUCCAUAUUUCCUGAUAACCCCCUGCAGAAAUAGACAAACACCAAAACUCGUGGAAUUCUGUCAGAUAAAACCCUAAGUCUGGGUGUUGGUUGCAUAUAAGUCCUUUUCCAUGAUUAGUUGACGGUUAAAUGUAAGCAUUAAGGACCGUCAACAUUCAUAUUUAUAUUAUUUAUCUUAUGUGACACUUACCCUGCAUGAGAGAUAGAUAAAGACAUGGUUA
RNAcentral lists this long non-coding RNA (765 nucleotides) under Sorghum bicolor (sorghum). RNAcentral's name for it is "long non-coding RNA (SBIC_LNC006776)". Lineage: Eukaryota; Viridiplantae; Streptophyta; Magnoliopsida; Poales; Poaceae. The record is from RNAcentral.